Molecule: ribosomal RNA, 820 nt
Filed under: Salmonella enterica
Lineage: Bacteria; Pseudomonadati; Pseudomonadota; Gammaproteobacteria; Enterobacterales; Enterobacteriaceae
Description: partial 23S ribosomal RNA
Rfam family: Bacterial large subunit ribosomal RNA
Source: RNAcentral
AGACCCGAAACCCGGUGAUCUAGCCAUGGGCAGGUUGAAGGUUGGGUAACACUAACUGGAGGACCGAACCGACUAAUGUUGAAAAAUUAGCGGAUGACCUGUGGCUGGGGGUGAAAGGCCAAUCAAACCGGGAGAUAGCUGGUUCUCCCCGAAAGCUAUUUAGGUAGCGCCUCGUGAAUUCAUCUCCGGGGGUAGAGCACUGUUUCGGCUAGGGGGCCAUCCCGGCUUACCAACCCGAUGCAAACUGCGAAUACCGGAGAAUGUUAUCACGGGAGACACACGGCGGGUGCUAACGUCCGUCGUGAAGAGGGAAACAACCCAGACCGCCAGCUAAGGUCCCAAAGUCAUGGUUAAGUGGGAAACGAUGUGGGAAGGCCCAGACAGCCAGGAUGUUGGCUUAGAAGCAGCCAUCAUUUAAAGAAAGCGUAAUAGCUCACUGGUCGAGUCGGCCUGCGCGGAAGAUGUAACGGGGCUAAACCAUGCACCGAAGCUGCGGCAGCGAACGUAUCACUUAAAGCGAUUCAGCGGGUUACGAUUGACGGAGCGAAGCGACGUCAAAGCGUAUACAAAGUCGAGUCGGUUUAAGGAUACGUUCGUUGGGUAGGGGAGCGUUCUGUAAGCCUGUGAAGGUGGCCUGUGAGGGUUGCUGGAGGUAUCAGAAGUGCGAAUGCUGACAUAAGUAACGAUAAAGCGGGUGAAAAGCCCGCUCGCCGGAAGACCAAGGGUUCCUGUCCAACGUUAAUCGGGGCAGGGUGAGUCGACCCCUAAGGCGAGGCCGAAAGGCGUAGUCGAUGGGAAACAGGUUAAUAUUCCUGUACUU